GGANCANANUACCCGGUAUUANGAGANGCANAUUCCCUUUUCCCAGAAAAGGAGAUUAGGCUCGUGUNGAAAGAUUCCCAAAUCGGGAGAGUUCUAGGAAUAUUAACCCUCCCCCGUCUCAAAAAGCAGGUUCUUUAACCGUAAAUCAACUACUNUUGGAUAUNGGGCAAGUGACGUGCGGCAGCCUACCAUGCAAGUCAGCGUAAGAGAGGCUGCUCUCUGAGGGCGCGACGGGUGAGUAUGCCUAGAAUCUGCCUGUAGUGGGGAUAACGUUCGAAACGGACGCUAAUACCGCAUACGUCCUACGGGAGAAAGCAGGGGACCUUCGGGCCUUGCGCUAUCAGAUGAGCCUAGGUCGGAUUAGCUAGUUGGUGAGGUAAUGGCUCACCAAGGCGACGAUCCGUAACUGGUCUGAGAGGAUGAUCAGUCACACUGGAACUGAGACACGGUCCAGACUCCUACGGGAGGCAGCAGUGGGGAAUAUUGGACAAUGGGCGAAAGCCUGAUCCAGCCAUGCCGCGUGUGUGAAGAAGGUCUUCGGAUUGUAAAGCACUUUAAGUUGGGAGGAAGGGCAUUAACCUAAUACGUUAGUGUUUUGACGUUACCGACAGAAUAAGCACCGGCUAACUCUGUGCCAGCAGCCGCGGUAAUACAGAGGGUGCAAGCGUUAAUCGGAAUUACUGGGCGUAAAGCGCGCGUAGGUGGUUUGUUAAGUUGGAUGUGAAAUCCCCGGGCUCAACCUGGGAACUGCAUUCAAAACUGACUGACUAGAGUAUGGUAGAGGGUGGUGGAAUUUCCUGUGUAGCGGUGAAAUGCGUAGAUAUAGGAAGGAACACCAGUGGCGAAGGCGACCACCUGGACUAAUACUGACACUGAGGUGCGAAAGCGUGGGGAGCAAACAGGAUUAGAUACCCUGGUAGUCCACGCCGUAAACGAUGUCAACUAGCCGUUGGAAGCCUUGAGCUUUUAGUGGCGCAGCUAACGCAUUAAGUUGACCGCCUGGGGCAGUACGGCGCGA
RNAcentral lists this ribosomal RNA (1018 nucleotides) under Pseudomonas sp. G3SF17. RNAcentral's name for it is "bacterial SSU rRNA". The stretch from base 145 to 1018 matches the Rfam family "Bacterial small subunit ribosomal RNA", at positions 1 to 891 of the family's 1533-position model. Lineage: Bacteria; Pseudomonadati; Pseudomonadota; Gammaproteobacteria; Pseudomonadales; Pseudomonadaceae. The record is from RNAcentral.